GUUUUUAUCUGUUGUUCUUGCAUUUUAAGCAUGGUUUCUUGAAUGGUCAUUAACGAAGCCUGUAUUGUUUGCAUAUUGGCUACAGUUUGUUUUUCUGCCCCUGACAUUCCUUCAAUUGCCUUUUGAUGGGCAGGUGAUGUAAUUGUCAAUGUUGGACUAGAUGUUGUCUUUUUUUCCAUUCUCCAGGCUGAUGUCAUGGCACUUGUCUUAUUUUCAAGCUCUAUUUAUUUCUACCUAUUUUAUUAUCUCCUUUACAAUAUAUUUUAAACUAAUCUCUUACUUUCAAUUUAUUCCUUCAUUUCAAAUCUCUUUAUUAUAAUUAUAUAGAAUUAGCACCACUUGUUAUCCCUUUCUCUAUCUCAAAGUCAAUAUCACUAUAUAUCUAACAAUAUCCUACUCAGACAAAGCCCUCCUGCCUUUCCUUAUGCUCAAAAUGUAUUCCCCUAGCUAA
Pseudonaja textilis is the source of this 451-nucleotide non-coding RNA. The record is from RefSeq and is a predicted model, not a curated record. Lineage: Eukaryota; Metazoa; Chordata; Lepidosauria; Squamata; Elapidae.